This 23-nucleotide small nuclear RNA is filed under the name Arabidopsis thaliana (thale cress). RNAcentral describes it as "snRNA_06828". The record is from RNAcentral. Lineage: Eukaryota; Viridiplantae; Streptophyta; Magnoliopsida; Brassicales; Brassicaceae.
GAAUAAUACACAAAAUAUAGAGA